AACGUAGGGGGCCAGCGUUGCUCGGAAUUACUGGGCGUAAAGGGUCCGUAGGCGGUGUGACAAGUCGGUAGUGAAAUCUCUGGGCUCAACUCAGAGGCUGCUGCCGAAACUGUUGUGCUCGAGUGUGAGAGAGGCGAGUGGAAUUACGGGUGUAGCGGUGAAAUGCGUAGAUAUCCGUAGGAACAUCCGAGGCGAAAGCGGCUCGCUGGAUCACAACUGACGCUGAGGGACGAAAGCGAGGGGAGCAAACAGG
Molecule: ribosomal RNA, 253 nt
Filed under: uncultured bacterium
Lineage: Bacteria
Description: partial 16S ribosomal RNA
Rfam family: Bacterial small subunit ribosomal RNA
Source: RNAcentral